ACCCCUCCUGUUUAUCAAAAACAUCAUCUCCAGCAUUACUAGUAUUAGAGGCAGUGCCUGCUCAGUGAUACAUGUUUAACAGCUGUGGUAUCCUGACCUUGCAAAGGUAGCAUAACCACUUGUUCCCUAAAUAGGGACUUGUAUGAAUGGCCACAUGAGGGU
RNAcentral lists this non-coding RNA (162 nucleotides) under Callithrix jacchus (white-tufted-ear marmoset). RNAcentral's name for it is "Archaeal large subunit ribosomal RNA". It matches the Rfam family "Archaeal large subunit ribosomal RNA", at positions 1885 to 2088 of the family's 2987-position model. Lineage: Eukaryota; Metazoa; Chordata; Mammalia; Primates; Cebidae. The record is from Rfam by way of RNAcentral.